RNAcentral lists this ribosomal RNA (500 nucleotides) under uncultured bacterium. RNAcentral describes it as "partial 16S ribosomal RNA". It matches the Rfam family "Bacterial small subunit ribosomal RNA", at positions 30 to 523 of the family's 1533-position model. The record is from RNAcentral.
AUUGAACGCUGGCGGAAUGCUUUACACAUGCAAGUCGAACGGCAGCACGGACUUCGGUCUGGUGGCGAGUGGCGAACGGGUGAGUAAUACAUCGGAACGUGCCCAAUCGUGGGGGAUAACGUAGCGAAAGCUACGCUAAUACCGCAUACGAUCUAAGGAUGAAAGCGGGGGAUCGCAAGACCUCGCGCGAUUGGAGCGGCCGAUGGCAGAUUAGGUAGUUGGUAGGGUAAAGGCCUACCAAGCCGACGAUCUGUAGCUGGUCUGAGAGGAUGAUCAGCCACGCUGGGACUGGGACACGGCCCAGACUCCUACGGGAGGCAGCAGUGGGGAAUUUUGGACAAUGGACGCAAGUCUGAUCCAGCCAUUCCGCGUGCAGGAUGAAGGCCCUCGGGUUGCAAACUGCUUUUGUACAGAACGAAAAGGCUCUGGUUAAUACUUAGGGCUCAUGACGGUACUGUAAGAAUAAGCACCGGCUAACUACGUGCCAGCCGCCGCAGUAA